This 262-nucleotide ribosomal RNA is filed under the name uncultured bacterium. Its description in RNAcentral is "partial 16S ribosomal RNA". It matches the Rfam family "Bacterial small subunit ribosomal RNA", at positions 515 to 776 of the family's 1533-position model. The record is from RNAcentral.
CCGCGGUAAUACGGAGGGAGCUAGCGUUGUUCGGAAUUACUGGGCGUAAAGCGAGCGUAGGCGGCUGUUUAAGUCAGAGGUGAAAGCCCGGGGCUCAACCCCGGAAUAGCCUUUGAGACUGGACGGCUUGAAUCCAGGAGAGGUGAGUGGAAUUCCGAGUGUAGAGGUGAAAUUCGUAGAUAUUCGGAAGAACACCAGUGGCGAAGGCGGCUCACUGGACUGGUAUUGACGCUGAGGUGCGAAAGCGUGGGGAGCAAACAGG